UUGGCGGUAUCCUCGCGGAACCGCACCGGCCACACACUGCAAGGAAGAUUGAAGUUAAGUGCAUAUUCCUUGACGAACGUGUAGCACGUUUCUGCUCUGAGCCGAAGGGACCGAGACAGAAGG
RNAcentral lists this non-coding RNA (123 nucleotides) under Paenibacillus alvei. RNAcentral's name for it is "pan". It matches the Rfam family "pan motif". The record is from RNAcentral. Lineage: Bacteria; Bacillati; Bacillota; Bacilli; Caryophanales; Paenibacillaceae.